This 253-nucleotide ribosomal RNA is filed under the name uncultured bacterium. RNAcentral's name for it is "partial 16S ribosomal RNA". It matches the Rfam family "Bacterial small subunit ribosomal RNA", at positions 524 to 776 of the family's 1533-position model. The record is from RNAcentral.
GACAGAGGGGGCAAGCGUUGCUCGGAAUCACUGGGCGUAAAGGGUGCGUAGGCGGCGAGGUAAGUCGGAUGUGAAAUCCCGGGGCUCAACCCCGAAACUGCAUUCGAUACUGCUUUGCUUGAGUACUGGAGAGGAGACUGGAAUUUACGGUGUAGCAGUGAAAUGCGUAGAUAUCGUAAGGAAGACCAGUGGCGAAGGCGAGUCUCUGGACAGUUACUGACGCUGAGGCACGAAGGCCAGGGGAGCAAACGGG